RNAcentral lists this ribosomal RNA (926 nucleotides) under uncultured Bacteroidota bacterium. RNAcentral's name for it is "bacterial SSU rRNA". It matches the Rfam family "Bacterial small subunit ribosomal RNA", at positions 1 to 917 of the family's 1533-position model. The record is from RNAcentral. Lineage: Bacteria; Pseudomonadati; Bacteroidota.
UGGAUCCAGACUUUGAUCCUGGCUCAGGAUGAACGCUAGCUACAGGCUUAACACAUGCAAGUCGAGGGGAAACGACAUCGAAAGCUUGCUUUUGAUGGGCGCCGACCGGCGCACGGGUGAGUAACGCGUAUCCAACCUGCCCACCACUUGGGGAUAACCUUGCGAAAGUAAGACUAAUACCCAAUGAUAUCUCUAGAAGACAUCUGAAAGAGAUUAAAGAUUUAUCGGUGAUGGAUGGGGAUGCGUCUGAUUAGCUUGUUGGCGGGGUAACGGCCCACCAAGGCUACGAUCAGUAGGGGUUCUGAGAGGAAGGUCCCCCACAUUGGAACUGAGACACGGUCCAAACUCCUACGGGAGGCAGCAGUGAGGAAUAUUGGUCAAUGGACGAGAGUCUGAACCAGCCAAGUAGCGUGCAGGAUGACGGCCCUAUGGGUUGUAAACUGCUUUUAUAAGGGAAUAAAGUUAGUCUCGUGAGACUUUUUGCAUGUACCUUAUGAAUAAGGACCGGCUAAUUCCGUGCCAGCAGCCGCGGUAAUACGGAAGGUCCGGGCGUUAUCCGGAUUUAUUGGGUUUAAAGGGAGCGUAGGCCGGAGAUUAAGCGUGUUGUGAAAUGUAGAUGCUCAACAUCUGCACUGCAGCGCGAACUGGUUUCCUUGAGUACGCACAAAGUGGGCGGAAUUCGUGGUGUAGCGGUGAAAUGCUUAGAUAUCACGAAGAACUCCGAUUGCGAAGGCAGCUCACUGGAGCGCAACUGACGCUGAAGCUCGGAAGUGCGGGUAUCGAACAGGAUUAGAUACCCUGGUAGUCCGCACGGUAAACGAUGGAUGCCCGCUGUUGGUCUGAAUAGGUCAGCGGCCAAGCGAAAGCAUUAAGCAUCCCACCUGGGGAGUACGCCGGCAACGGUGCAACUCAAAUGAAUUGACGGA